RNAcentral lists this long non-coding RNA (506 nucleotides) under Suricata suricatta (meerkat). RNAcentral's name for it is "lncRNA (ENSSSUG00005002927.1)". The record is from RNAcentral. Lineage: Eukaryota; Metazoa; Chordata; Mammalia; Carnivora; Herpestidae.
GUGAAAUGGCACCAGAAUGUUUCCUUCACAAAUCUAUCCAUUGCUUAUGAUAAAAGGGAGUUUAUAGAACUAAACAGGAGAGGAGACUUUCAAGUGUUGUUGCGUUCAACUUUCCUAUAAUCAGCUUUUCCUCAUGUCUCCUGGAGCCACUGUGCCUUUUCAACUCUCCACUCCGCACCCUGCCACAGCUCAGUGGAGUCCCAGUGCUUGCAAGAUUCACCAUACGGAGGGCAUUCUGCUACCUCUUUGAGCAUCCUCAGAGGCAUGUGAUUAUGAACCACAGAAAAGAAAAGAAAAGGAAAGAAAAGAAAAAAUCUUCAUGAGUCAAUGCAUGUAAAUGUCAAUAUUUUCCAGUUGAAAUUGCCUCAAGGGACCCUUACAUCUUAUAUGGAGUUUGCAAACUCCCUGAGGUUGAAGAGUUUUGAACUUGGAAUCUAGAACAACUAACAUAAUCCUGGGCAUUACUUACUGGACUCAGGAAAUCCUUUGAGAAAACAAAAAUAUAU